Molecule: long non-coding RNA, 366 nt
Organism: Cyanistes caeruleus (blue tit)
Lineage: Eukaryota; Metazoa; Chordata; Aves; Passeriformes; Paridae
Source: RefSeq, a predicted model, not a curated record
UUCAGAUUUUUGUCAUUUUUCAUGCUGCUGUUUUGAUACAUCUGGCCAGUUCAUCCAUCCCCUGUCUAUAGCUGAGCUAUUCUGCCCUAAUCAAAGAUACUGGAUGGCACCUCUAUACAUGAGCCCUGCAGCUUCAUAAAACCUGAUGAAGGAGAGAGGAACAUUCCAAGAGAAAACAAGAAAAGGUCAUGAUUUAUUGCUAAUAAACAGCUCCUUGGAUCUUAUUAUCUUUGCUGUGUAGAAGCCUGGAGAUCUAGAUUGGGCUUUAUAAUUCACAUUGAAAUUCAAUGUAUCACAUGUCUCUUGUAAAGCCACAUCUUUGAAUGAUACUCAAACCCUAUUAAACAGGUACUCAUUAAACCACAA